RNAcentral lists this ribosomal RNA (493 nucleotides) under uncultured bacterium. Its description in RNAcentral is "partial 16S ribosomal RNA". It matches the Rfam family "Bacterial small subunit ribosomal RNA", at positions 29 to 507 of the family's 1533-position model. The record is from RNAcentral.
AACGAACGCUGGCGGCGCGUCUUAAACAUGCAAGUCGAACGGCAGGAAGGGGCUUGCCCCUUCUGAGAGUGGCGGACUGGUGAGUAACACGUGGGUGACAUACCUUUUAGUUGGGGAUAGCUAUUAGAAAUAGUAGGUAAUACCGAAUGUGACCGUACCUGUUAGAGGGGUACGAGGAAAGGAGCUAAGGCUUCGCUAAAAGAAUGGCUCGCGGCCCAUUAUGCUCGUUGGUGAGGUAACGGCCCACCAAGGCGAUGAUGGGUAUCCGGCCUGAGAGGGUGAACGGACACAUUGGGACUGAGAUACGGCCCAGACUUCUACGGGGGGCAGCAGUUAAGAAUAUUCCGCAAUGGACGAAAGUCUGACGGAGCGACGCCGCGUGGAUGAAGAAUGCCGAAAGGUUGUAAAAUCCUUUUAAGCCUGAUGAAUAAGCACAGUAGGGAAUGAUUGUGCGGUGACCGUAGGGCUUGAAUAAGCACCGGCUAAUUACGUG